Molecule: ribosomal RNA, 116 nt
Organism: Astyanax mexicanus (Mexican tetra)
Lineage: Eukaryota; Metazoa; Chordata; Actinopteri; Characiformes; Acestrorhamphidae
Source: Ensembl
GCUUACGGCCAUACCACCCUGAGAACGCCCGAUCUCGUCUGAUCUCGGAAGCUAAGCAGGGUCGGGCCUGGUUAGUACUUGGAUGGGAGACGCCUGGAUACCAGGUGCUGUAAGCU